ACGCCGCGUGAGUGAUGAAGGUUUUCGGAUCGUAAAGCUCUGUUGUUAGGGAAGAACAAGUGCGAGAGUAACUGCUCGCACCUUGACGGUACCUAACCAGAAAGCCACGGCUAACUACGUGCCAGCAGCCGCGGUAAUACGUAGGUGGCAAGCGUUGUCCGGAAUUAUUGGGCGUAAAGGGCUCGCAGGCGGUUUCUUAAGUCUGAUGUGAAAGCCCCCGGCUCAACCGGGGAGGGUCAUUGGAAACUGGGAAACUUGAGUGCAGAAGAGGAGAGUGGAAUUCCACGUGUAGCGGUGAAAUGCGUAGAGAUGUGGAGGAACACCAGUGGCGAAGGCGACUCUCUGGUCUGUAACUGACG
RNAcentral lists this ribosomal RNA (359 nucleotides) under Bacillus safensis. RNAcentral describes it as "bacterial SSU rRNA". It matches the Rfam family "Bacterial small subunit ribosomal RNA", at positions 394 to 745 of the family's 1533-position model. Lineage: Bacteria; Bacillati; Bacillota; Bacilli; Caryophanales; Bacillaceae. The record is from RNAcentral.